GGAAGGGAUGCAUGCCCGGUGGCAUGUCCGGACUUCAAAUCCGGGAGGGGCCGAUAGACGGUCUUUGGUGGGUUCGACUCCCAUUCUCUUCCGCCA
This 96-nucleotide transfer RNA is filed under the name Brucella anthropi. RNAcentral describes it as "tRNA-SeC (TCA) (tRNA-SeC-TCA-1-1)". It matches the Rfam family "Selenocysteine transfer RNA". RNAcentral also lists the same sequence under 42 other names. Lineage: Bacteria; Pseudomonadati; Pseudomonadota; Alphaproteobacteria; Hyphomicrobiales; Brucellaceae. The record is from RNAcentral.